GAUGAACGCUGGCGGCGUGCCUAAUACAUGCAAGUCGAGCGAACAGACGAGGAGCUUGCUCCUCUGACGUUAGCGGCGGACGGGUGAGUAACACGUGGAUAACCUACCUAUAAGACUGGGAUAACUUCGGGAAACCGGAGCUAAUACCGGAUAAUAUAUUGAACCGCAUGGUUCAAUAGUGAAAGACGGUUUUGCUGUCACUUAUAGAUGGAUCCGCGCCGCAUUAGCUAGUUGGUAAGGUAACGGCUUACCAAGGCAACGAUGCGUAGCCGACCUGAGAGGGUGAUCGGCCACACUGGAACUGAGACACGGUCCAGACUCCUACGGGAGGCAGCAGUAGGGAAGCUUCCGCAAUGGGCGAAAGCCUGACGGAGCAGCGCCGCGUGAGUGAUGAAGGUCUUCGGACCGUAAAACUCUGUUAUUAGGGAAGAACAAAUGUGUAAGUAACUAUGCACGUCUUGACGGUACCUAAUCAGAAAGCCACGGCUAACUACGUG
This 497-nucleotide ribosomal RNA is filed under the name uncultured bacterium. RNAcentral describes it as "partial 16S ribosomal RNA". It matches the Rfam family "Bacterial small subunit ribosomal RNA", at positions 28 to 507 of the family's 1533-position model. The record is from RNAcentral.